RNAcentral lists this small RNA (64 nucleotides) under Sinorhizobium meliloti 2011. Its description in RNAcentral is "putative ncRNA". The record is from RNAcentral. Lineage: Bacteria; Pseudomonadati; Pseudomonadota; Alphaproteobacteria; Hyphomicrobiales; Rhizobiaceae.
AGUACCGAUCGCGGAUGCGCCACUUGCAAGCCGGCUAUAUACCUGCAGCUUUUCGCAGCGCCUC